RNAcentral lists this ribosomal RNA (441 nucleotides) under uncultured bacterium. Its description in RNAcentral is "partial 16S ribosomal RNA". It matches the Rfam family "Bacterial small subunit ribosomal RNA", at positions 338 to 795 of the family's 1533-position model. The record is from RNAcentral.
CCUACGGGUGGCAGCAGUGGGGGAUAUUGCACAAUGGGGGAAACCCUGAUGCAGCGACGCCGCGUGGGUGAAGAAGUAUUUCGGUAUGUAAAGCCCUGUCAGCAGGGAAGAAAGAAGACGGUACCUGACUAAGAAGCCCCGGCUAACUACGUGCCAGCAGCCGCGGUAAUACGUAGGGGGCGAGCGUUAUCCGGAUUCACUGGGUGUAAAGGGGGCGUAGACGGCCGGGCAAGCCAGGAGUGAAAGCCCGGGGCCCAACCCCGGGACUGCUCUUGGAACUGUGCGGCUGGAGUGCGGGAGGGGCAGGCGGAAUUCCUGGUGUAGCGGUGAAAUGCGUAGAUAUCAGGAGGAACACCGGCGGCGAAGGCGGCCUGCUGGACCGCGACUGACGUUGAGGCUCGAAAGCGUGGGGAGCGAACAGGAUUAGAUACCCCAGUAGUC